UCAGCUUCCAAGUUGCUAAGACUACCACCAUGUCUGGCUCCUUCUUUAUUCUUGAUGUUUCAGGUUACCUUAUGAUGUCAUUUCCGUCUGUCUGAAGAAGCUCCAUUCGUAAUUCUUUAGAGCAGACAUAGAAAGAAGGCAGCUGUCUACAAGCCAGAAAGAGAGGCUUCACCAGGAAUUAAAUCAGCUGGCACCUUGAUUCGGGACUUCCCAGCCUCUCAAACUGUGAGAAAGUAGAUUUCUGCUGUUUUCGCCAUCCAGUCUAUGGUAUUUUGUUUUGGCACCUUGAGCAGACGAAGACAAUUGCCAACAUAUUUAUGAAAAAAUUCUUGGUACUACAUAUUGCGUCAUUCUUCCCAAAUCAAUCACUACUUUUCCUCAUAAUUCUACCUGUACAUGUUUUCUUCAAGAUUUAUAACAAAUUAUACUUAGCUGAAUUUCUAGACAGAAAUAGAAACAAAUCCCCCAAAACUAGAUGGGUAGCUUUAGAGAUCCAAUAAUUCUGUGUCAUGUAGUUGUAACACUUCAAAUAUAUAUAUUUUGAUAUGUCUUUUUUGAAUUAACUUAUUGCUUAAUUGUUUGGUCUUCAGUCACCUUGACUAAAUUUGCCUGAUGUUUCUCUGUAAAUAAUCUCAAGGCUAGGUGACCUAGGUCCUGUUUGGGCCAAUUAUUUUUAUUUUUAUCUCUGAGAAGCUUGCCUCAAAGAGAACUUUUGGUUAGGAGCCAACAGUCCAUUUCUUUCACAUACAUCCUGUUAAACUAUAAGACAUGAGGAUCGUAUUGAAUAAAUAUAAAUUAGUAGAAGGAAGAUAAAGCAAUUUGCUUGUCUGCUGCAGAUAGUAGUUUUAAAUAAAUUUUUACCCAAUAAUAAACCGAACAUGAGUAAUUCUUGACGAUCAAAAGAGAAGGACAAGUCCUUAUAAUUGGAGUGGAACUGGACUAGAACUAGGCUAUUGUCUCAAGUGGGACGAAGACUCUAGAAUAGAUCAGUGAGCUUUGUACCUAAGGCAAUUUCAUGUUAUGCUCUAUUGCUCUCCACCAGAUGGAUUUCUUUCUUUCUUCCCCCACACCCCAGUAAUCUUUUCCAUCUCAUCUAUUCCCUUUUCUUUUUCUCUUCCUUACAGUUUUUAUAUCUGUGAACCUAGAUUAAUCAGUAGAUUUAAAGAAGUAGUGGGAUUUAAAGAAACUGCUGAUCCUUGAUCCUUUUUAAAAAUCUGUCAACACCUCCCAUCUUUUCCUUGUAUGCUGCCUUCCUGUUCCUGUUCCACCUUUCCAUGUUGUCCUUCACUUCAUGGCCAGGCUUUAGCCCUGCCAGUAGUGGCCAGAGACAUGAAUUAACUCUGUUUGAGUCACUUAGGAAUAAAAAGAUUAUUACUGACCUCAAUUCUAGAAUAAAAA
Non-coding RNA from Chlorocebus sabaeus (green monkey), 1398 nucleotides. The record is from RefSeq and is a predicted model, not a curated record. Lineage: Eukaryota; Metazoa; Chordata; Mammalia; Primates; Cercopithecidae.